This is a non-coding RNA of Myodes glareolus (Bank vole), 2703 nucleotides long. The record is from RefSeq and is a predicted model, not a curated record. Lineage: Eukaryota; Metazoa; Chordata; Mammalia; Rodentia; Cricetidae.
UAUUUGCCUAUUUUGUUGAUGUACGUGGGGGGGGCACAAUACCUGAAGGUUAGAGGACAAUUUAUCGGAGUCGGUGCUCUUUUCCCACCAUGUAGGUGCCCAGGGACUAAACCGCCUUUUUUCAGGCUUGGCAGCAAGCACCUUUACCCACCGAUUCAUUCCACCAGCCCUCAUGGGGGAGUCUAAGAGUUUAGCCAGCGGAAAAUAUUAUUGGCACGUGCUUUGGUGUUCAAGGCCUCGCCGAAAUAUUAACCUCCGACUUUGCCCAAGCACUUCUCCGCUGGGCUGGUUCACCGCUAGUCAAAUCCCAAGCCCACAGUGUGUGCCGGAAUCACCUGAUCUUGAAAAAAGGGGAGGAAGGCUCCCAUCCCCUGAAUCUGAAGCCUACGAUUUCGAUGUGCUGAGUCAGAGUCCUCUCAGGGUCAGAAACUUUCACUCCGGAAGAGCCCCGCGGAGCACCACGGUGCGGGCCGCGACUGGUCUGGUGCAUCUGAAUAUGGAUGAGAAGACUCAGAGGAGACAGGGCAUAUCUAUAUCUGGUGGAAGGCAGGGAGCUCAGUCAACACUGUGCCUUCCACAAGUUAGAAGAGCAGCAGCCCUUCCUGAAUCCAGCCUGCUUUGGGAGUCGUGGGAACAAUUGAUCUCUCCAUGCGCUGCUUACUGAGAACUGCAGUCCUUGGACCAACCAGUGCCUGUGACGGAUGAUGGGUGUCUACAUCCUGUGUGCCAGCAACUGCUGGGCGCUUUGUGUCUCGCUCCAUCCUUACUGUGCCCCGUCGUGGAGGAACUGUUGUUCUUCAGGAUCUCCGAGCAGCUGAGCAUUCCCACAGUGCUUGGAGUUGGCGAAGAGUGGGAAUCUGAGUGGGGAAGAGUACCUUGUGACUAAGCGCUCUGGAGGCUGCCUCCACACUCAUAAAAGAGACUAGUCACCAGCAAACCAUGCUAAGUGCAGGAAGAAUGUCACUGACUGAAGUUCUUGCUUACCCUGUGAACAAUGAAGGGGAAAGAGGUGGGGUAGGGUGGGAAGAGAGGGCAGAAAAGCUGUGUGUGUGUGUGUGUGUGUGUGUGUGUGUGUGUGUGUGUGUGUGUCUGGCACGGAGAGACUCAGAAAGAUUUCAAAAAGUUCCCUGUGAGUAAUACCUACAUAUGAAAAUGAAAGGACUUAGCCAUCCAUCAUGGUCUUUACCUAGUUAUAUUGAUGGAUAUCAGAGAGUUGGGCUUUUAAAACACAAAGGCAGGGCCAGUAAGAUGGCUCAGUAGGUAGAGGCACCUACUGCCCAACCUGACUACCCACGGUCUGUCCCUGGAACCCACACAGUGGGAAGAGAGAACUGAUUUCUGCUGUCUGCUGAUGCCCACACCUUGCCAUGAAAAUACCCCACACCCCCUUCACUAAUAAAUAAAUGUAAAAGAAAAAAAAAAAAGAAAACUAAAGACAAACUCCAGCCCCCUAAACUAACGUCUAUUUGUUAUUCUACCUGUGACUAGACCUGGAAGGGGCCAGGUGUGCUCAGGAGAGAACAGGGACUUUCCUGAGGCAGGACGGGGAUCAGAGUUACCCAGCAGAGUGGCACAGCACACCUGAGCUGUAGUUCCAGCCUGCAGAGUGAGUUUUCUGUUUCCACUUCCCCAGAGGCUAAGCAGUGGGGAGGUUCAGGGGACUGGGGAUGCUCUACGGCCUGGACCAAAAGCUGGGGAGGAACCAUGACCACAGCAGCCCUCGGAAGUGAUGGAGGGACGUAGCCCCAGGAAGCGGAGACUAGGAAACUGUGGAAGACAUUGCCUCUGGCAAAGCCUAGGAAGGGCAGAAGUGUUGAGCUGGGUGAAUGAGGUGGAGAGAAGGUGAGGCCCGAGAGGUUGUGAGUCGGGCUGGUUGGUGACCGGUUUCCUGUGCUAUGACCUGAAGCCAGAAAUUACACAUGCUGAGUAAGGGCUCUGUCCGGAACUGUCCCCCUGCCCCACUGUUUAGCACCAUUUUAGGGACUUGGUAUUUUUUAAAAACUUUAAUAACAUUUAUGAAGGGCUAGAGAGAUGACUCAGUGGUUAAGAACAUUUUUUGUUCUUGUAGGGCACCUGAGUUCAGCUCCCAGGACCCACAUGUGGCUGGUGACUGCCAUAGCUCCAGGUCCAGGCAAUCCAAUGGGACAAAUAAACUGAGGUGUCUAUUUAACCUAUCAAAGUGGACCUGGCCAUCAGGUUCUCCCAGAAUCCCUUAGUCUCUAACAUUUUGCAGGGUAUGGCUGCCAUAACCACCCAUCACCAACUCUCCAGCCCAAGGUCAGGGCUGCCCUCAUAUAAUCCAGCCAUUGUGGUUACCUUCCCUGUCAUGUACUAUUCUCCCCUGCUUUUUAAUUUUUUAUUUUUAUUUUUUUACCUUUUGCUCUCUUGGCUGCGAUACCUGGUUCUCUCUCCUCUUUCUUCCCCUCCCCUCUCUCCUCACAUGGUUCAGGGUCAUGUUUACCCCCGACUCCCCCCCCCCCACCUCCAUGUCCCUAUGUCGCUGCCUCUGCCCACGCUUUCCCUUUUACCCACAAUAACCCUUCUCCUCCACCAUACCUAGGAGCAGCCAUGUCCUUUUCAUUUCUUUCUUCAUUCAGUUACUGUGAGAAGUGAUUGGACCCCAGGCAUGCAUGAGGUACAAAGAUAUGUAUGCAAGCAAAGCAGCUCUUACAUACAUACAAUAAAUAAAUAUUUAAAAAACCA